Molecule: non-coding RNA, 2704 nt
Organism: Lepisosteus oculatus (spotted gar)
Lineage: Eukaryota; Metazoa; Chordata; Actinopteri; Semionotiformes; Lepisosteidae
Source: RefSeq, a predicted model, not a curated record
CUUGUUUGGUCAUAGGAAGCAGGUGUGUGUUGUAUUAGAAGCAGUGGGGAUUUCGUGUUUGCACUUUGAGGAGAUGUUAGGAUUGGCUCUUGGUGAAUUAGGUAUUCCCCUGAGGUCAUCGUGAGGCUUAUAUCAAGGCAGCCUGGGAAGCUGGGCUCUGUUUGUUUCUGUCUAUAGCAAGAGAAAGAGCUCUUGAGGCUUCGUGGUGUUGGGCUGGUGGUUGUUAGUUUUUGGUGUUACUGUGCAAGGUCUCAAACCAGCAACAAGAAAGAGGAUUUAUAUCCUGACUGAGCAGUUUCACUAGGAUAACAAGGAAGAAUAUACUUCCUCUCCUACUCUGUCCAACAUGCUGGUGCUUCUGUCUCUGCUGGAGUGUAGAAAGCUGUGGUGCUGCUUGUGUUCUUGGGCUUCCCUCAGUGAACAAGGUGAGCUGAAGGUGCUGUUCUGAGAAGAAGAUCGUGGCAAUAAGCACAGUCACUGGAGAGAGGAUGCUGGUGGAGUUGCCAGUUGAGAUCUUGUCAGAACAGUUUGUGGAAACCUUGGGCUUCUGUGCACAGAGCUGCUUCUUUUUAUAAGACUGGUCAGCAGUGGUGUUGAUUGUUGUGAGUUAAACUACAGUGCAAUGAACAGAGCUCCCAGUCCUUUGCCAUCUGAAAGCACAGUGUGGAGUGACAUGCUUGGAGAAUUGUUCAGAGGAAGCUCACUGGGUGGCUAAAAGGAUACUCACUGUGUGACCUGUUGAUGCCCACCUGUAAGUAUUGAAGUCUUAUGGUUUCAACAGCUGAAAGUGAAGAGGUGCUGCAAGCAGUCCUUGAAUUUCCUGGAUGCCCAUGGUUCUUGGAAUAGUUGCAAAGGUAGUGUCUAGAAGGACACUGUCCCUGGAGAAGAGGUUCUCUGCUGUUGGAAUGGUUGACCAGGCCUUUGCUCCCAGAGGGAUGACCUUUAUUUGCCAGGAAUAACAUGCAGAUGUGGCACACUGUAGACUGGGUGCUUUCUCUUCUGUGAAGAUCUGCUUGAGGAGUUAAGUGUUUCUAAACCAAUACAACAGCCAGGGCACCCAGUUAGUUGCUGAGUGAGUUCUCUACCAACCAGGAAAAGGGACCACGGGAGAUCAUGUGUGGGGCAGCUUUGGGCUUGACAACACUUAAGCAUCUUUUAAAGGUAGGAACAGCUUCCUGUUCUGACUGAUGGUCUUUACAGCAGCUUUGUGAUGACUGUUUCCAGGAGCACCUGAGCCACCUGGUUGGUUGAGCCAAAGCUGACCGUUCCAGGUAGGAGGGGACCCUGAUUUUAAAGCCUUCGUUUAGCUUGCAGCUGCUGGAGUUCUUUGUAGGUUUUCUAGCCUUAAUGGCAGUAUUCCCCUAGCAGAAGCACAGGUUAAUCAGGAAAUGAGUGCCAAAUAUUGGAAUUAUUGUGCAAGCACUGGGAAAAAAUUGGGUAAAUUGUAUUAUGGUACCACUGGAAAAGAAUCAGCAGUAUGUAAGAUUUAUUUCAUGGGUGCACACAUGUAACUAAAUCUUACAUUGACUGAAAUUUAGAAGUGAAUUAAGUAAAUUGUAAAAUGGGGGAAACUAUGCUCCUGUCUAGUGUAAGGCAGACUUCCUGAUUUAACCCAGUGAGACAGUAUUUUUCUAAUUUCCUGCACUAAAAGCAAUGCUGACUGGAAUUGGUUGUGUACUGUGCCUUGUGAGAAGGGAGAGAGCAGUAUGAAAACGUGUUUUUUUCUGGAGGACACCCUUGUUCUGGAUGUGUAAUUGUGCUUUGUUUAGUACUGCAUAGUUUGCCCUUGGCUCCUGUGUAUUGACUUGUGACUGUAUAGAAUACUAUGGUAGUAAACCAUUUCUAUUUGGUUCAAUUUUUAGAACACAUUUGAAGGAGCUGAGUAGUGAAUGUGAAGCUUAGUUUUACCAAAAGUUUGUAUAUGUACAAGCUGUAAUCUCUCUGAUGGUAGAAAACAUGAUGUGGCUGGAAGGCUUAAAUCUAUAUACAGUGGCCAAACAAUAGGUUUUUAGUGCUUUUGUAUUUCAAUUGUUUAAAAUGUUGAAGCUCUAAAACCUUUCCCCUCAUGGUGUUCCAGUCAAGGCUGCAGCUGUUAAGUAAUGAAGAUGGUUGGUGUUUUUGGUCUUGUACUGCUAUGGAACCCAAAUUUGGGGGGUGGGACUUGAAAUGUUCUUUAUGUAAAACCGACUGUAAACUUACUGCAGCCUUAGGUGUGUUGACUUUUUUUUUAAAAAGUGAAUGUCCACCACUUUUUGAUGGGAUAUACAUCUUUACAAAAUUCUAAGGUCAAUUCGCUGUACUGUAAACUUGUUACUACUUUUUUUGUAGAAGUACUGAUUUUUUAGGUGUACAUUAAUUGAGCUUGUAUGUACCCUAGGUCCACAUGGAAUACUGUAAAUGGAAUUAAGAAACAUAUUUCCUUUGUUUUAGGAAUGUGGAGAAUGUUAAAUUCUGUAAAUUGACCUAAAGAUCAGAGUAUUUGUGGGGAGGGGGAAGCAAAGUUGAAGAAUUCUAAUGUCUUGCCUUAGCAAGCUUCCAAGCUGCUGUCAAGAAGAGAAGCAAGAUCAUCUAUGUCCUGGGUGAGCAGGGCAAGGACUUGGGUUAUUGUUUCUGUUUGGGCCAGUAAGAGGCCAGUGUUUAAGGUUAGGAUCAGUGAUCAGUCAGAAUUGGGGGGGGGGGAGUUGAGUUGAACUGUACAUUUUGA